Non-coding RNA from Triticum aestivum (bread wheat), 135 nucleotides. The record is from Rfam. NCBI's taxonomy places the organism in Eukaryota, Viridiplantae, Streptophyta, Magnoliopsida, Poales, Poaceae.
UUUCUACUCCCUCCGUCCGAAAAUACUUGUCAUCAAAAUAGAUAAAAAGAGAUGUAUCUAAAACUAAAAUACGUCUAGAUACAUUUCCUUUUAUCCAUUUUGAUGACAAGUAUUUCCGGACGGAGGGAGUAUUUG